CGAAUGCUGACAUAAGUAACGAUAAAGCGGGUGAAAAGCCCGCUCGCCGGAAGACCAAGGGUUCCUGUCCAACGUUAAUCGGGGCAGGGUGAGUCGACCCCUAAGGCGAGGCCGAAAGGCGUAGUCGAUGGGAAACAGGUUAAUAUUCCUGUACUUGGUGUUACUGCGAAGGGGGGACGGAGAAGGCUAUGUUGGCCGGGCGACGGUUGUCCCGGUUUAAGCGUGUAGGCUGGUUUUCCAGGCAAAUCCGGAAAAUCAAGGCUGAGGCGUGAUGACGAGGCACUACGGUGCUGAAGCAACAAAUGCCCUGCUUCCAGGAAAAGCCUCUAAGCAUCAGGUAACAUCAAAUCGUACCCCAAACCGACACAGGUGGUCAGGUAGAGAAUACCAAGGCGCUUGAGAGAACUCGGGUGAAGGAACUAGGCAAAAUGGUGCCGUAACUUCGGGAGAAGGCACGCUGAUAUGUAGGUGAAGUCCCUCGCGGAUGGAGCUGAAAUCAGUCGAAGAUACCAGCUGGCUGCAACUGUUUAUUAAAAACACAGCACUGUGCAAACACGAAAGUGGACGUAUACGGUGUGACGCCUGCCCGGUGCCGGAAGGUUAAUUGAUGGGGUUAGCGCAAGCGAAGCUCUUGAUCGAAGCCCCGGUAAACGGCGGCCGUAACUAUAACGGUCCUAAGGUAGCGAAAUUCCUUGUCGGGUAAGUUCCGACCUGCACGAAUGGCGUAAUGAUGGCCAGGCUGUCUCCACCCGAGACUCAGUGAAAUUGAACUCGCUGUGAAGAUGCAGUGUACCCGCGGCAAGACGGAAAGACCCCGUGAACCUUUACUAUAGCUUGACACUGAACAUUGAGCCUUGAUGUGUAGGAUAGGUGGGAGGCUUUGAAGUGUGGACGCCAGUCUGCAUGGAGCCGACCUUGAAAUACCACCCUUUAAUGUUUGAUGUUCUAACGUGGACCCGUAAUCCGGGUUGCGGACAGUGUCUGGUGGGUAGUUUGACUGGGGCGGUCUCCUCCUAAAGAGUAACGGAGGAGCACGAAGGUUGGCUAAUCCUGGUCGGACAUCAGGAGGUUAGUGCAAUGGCAUAAGCCAGCUUGACUGCGAGCGUGACGGCGCGAGCAGGUGCGAAAGCAGGUCAUAGUGAUCCG
RNAcentral lists this ribosomal RNA (1146 nucleotides) under Escherichia coli O146. RNAcentral's name for it is "partial 23S ribosomal RNA". It matches the Rfam family "Bacterial large subunit ribosomal RNA", at positions 1291 to 2422 of the family's 2925-position model. The record is from RNAcentral. Lineage: Bacteria; Pseudomonadati; Pseudomonadota; Gammaproteobacteria; Enterobacterales; Enterobacteriaceae.